UUUUGGCAAACCAAGAACUAAUUCUUUCUUAAUUAAUUUUGAAAGAGAAUGCAUGCUAAUGUGUGCAAGUCUGCGAUGCCAAAGCCAACUAGUCUCAUUAAUUUUAGCAUUCAAGGAUACUAGGCAUUGUAUGUUUAUUUUGGCUAGAUCAUUUAAAUCUACCAUAUAAAUAUUACCAUGUCUAUGUCCAAUAAAUUUAAUGCCAUCAUUAAUAAGACUAGUUACAAUGCAAA
This 233-nucleotide long non-coding RNA is filed under the name Elaeis guineensis (African oil palm). Its description in RNAcentral is "long non-coding RNA (EGUI_LNC076661)". Lineage: Eukaryota; Viridiplantae; Streptophyta; Magnoliopsida; Arecales; Arecaceae. The record is from RNAcentral.